GGAUGUAAGGCUAAUCUGGCUGUGACAUCUGUCACCCCAUUGAUCGCCAGGGUUGAUUUGGCCAAUCUGGCUGGCUAGGUGGGUGUCCCCCUCCUCCCUCAGCGAUCCAUGUGGGUCCCUCCCAAAGCUGUGUGCUAGGUUGAAGAGGAUGGCCUUCCCCCCAGGGUAUACGAGUAGCUGCGCUCUCCUGCUAGAACCUCCAAACAAGAUCUCAAUAAAACACUUACACACUGUGGUCCAAGAACAUUCAAAUAAUAAACCAAAAAGAAACAGAUGUUAAAGAUUGGUCUUCAAAC
Molecule: small nuclear RNA, 296 nt
Filed under: Myotis davidii
Lineage: Eukaryota; Metazoa; Chordata; Mammalia; Chiroptera; Vespertilionidae
Description: 7SK RNA
Rfam family: 7SK RNA
About the family: 7SK was discovered as an abundant small nuclear RNA in the mid-70s but a possible function has only recently been suggested. Two independent studies have found that 7SK RNA binds the CDK9/cyclin T complex (known as elongation factor P-TEFb).
Source: Rfam by way of RNAcentral